CCUACGGUGGGCAGCAGUGAGGAAUAUUGGUCAAUGGGCUUACGCCUGAACCAGCCAAGUCGCGUGAGGGAAGACUGCCCUAUGGGUUGUAAACCUCUUUUAUAAGGGAAGAAUAAAUGCUACGUGUAGCAUGAUGCCUGUACCUUAUGAAUAAUCAUCGGCUAACUCCGUGCCAGCAGCCGCGGUAAUACGGAGGCUGCGAGCGUUAUCCGGAUUUAUUGGGUUUACAGGGUGCGUAGGCGGUUUUUUAAGUUAGUGGUUAAACGUCGGGGCUUCACCUUGAUUUGCCAUUAAUACUGUAAGACUCGAGUUCAGACGAGGUAGGCGGAAUAAGUUAAGUAGCGGUGAAAUGCUUAGAUAUAACUUAGAACUCCAAUAGCGAAGGCAGCUUACCAGACUGCGACUGACGCUGAAGCACGAGAGCGUGGGUAGCGAACAGGAUUAGAUACCCUGGUAGUC
Molecule: ribosomal RNA, 459 nt
Filed under: uncultured bacterium
Lineage: Bacteria
Description: partial 16S ribosomal RNA
Rfam family: Bacterial small subunit ribosomal RNA
Source: RNAcentral